GAUGAAGAACGUGGCGAAAUGCGAUAAGUAAUGUGAAUUGCAGAAUUCAGUGAAUCAUCGAAUCUUUGAACGCACAUUGCGCCCCCUGGUAUUCCGGGGGGCAUGCCUGUUCGAGCGUCAUUUCACCACUCAAGCCUCGCUUGGUAUUGGGCAACGCGGUCCGCCGCGUGCCUCAAAUCGACCGGCUGGGUCUUCUGUCCCCUAAGCGUUGUGGAAACUAUUCGCUAAAGGGUGUUCGGGAGGCUACGCCGUAAAACAACCCCAUUUCUAAGGUUGACCUCGGAUCAGGUAGGGAUACCCGCUGAACUUAAGCAUAUCAAUAAGCGGAGGA
RNAcentral lists this unclassified non-coding RNA (331 nucleotides) under soil metagenome. RNAcentral describes it as "partial contains 5.8S ribosomal RNA, internal transcribed spacer 2, and large subunit ribosomal RNA". The stretch from base 1 to 120 matches the Rfam family "5.8S ribosomal RNA", at positions 35 to 154 of the family's 154-position model. The record is from RNAcentral.